GGAGUAAAUUGAAUAAUCGCGUCAAUGACGAGGAAAGUCCGUGCACCACAGAGUAAGGAUGCUAGAUAACGUCUAGUAAGGGUGACCUUCAGGCAAGUGCAAAAGAAAGUAUACCGCCAAAAUUUUUGGUAAGGGUGGAACGGUGA
RNAcentral lists this RNase P RNA (146 nucleotides) under Anaerococcus vaginalis. RNAcentral describes it as "partial RNase P RNA component class A". It matches the Rfam family "Bacterial RNase P class A", at positions 1 to 165 of the family's 367-position model. From Rfam's summary of the family: Ribonuclease P (RNase P) is a ubiquitous endoribonuclease, found in archaea, bacteria and eukarya as well as chloroplasts and mitochondria. Its best characterised activity is the generation of mature 5'-ends of tRNAs by cleaving the 5'-leader elements of precursor-tRNAs. Cellular RNase Ps are ribonucleoproteins. The record is from RNAcentral. Lineage: Bacteria; Bacillati; Bacillota; Tissierellia; Tissierellales; Peptoniphilaceae.